GUGGGGAAUAUUGGGCAAUGGGGGCAACCCUGACCCAGCGACGCCGCGUGAGGGAAGAAGGCCUUCGGGUUGUAAACCUCUGUCCUUGGUGACGAAACAAAUGACGGUAGCCAAGGAGGAAGCCCCGGCUAACUACGUGCCAGCAGCCGCGGUAAUACGUAGGGGGCGAGCGUUGUCCGGAAUUACUGGGCGUAAAGGGUGCGUAGGCGGGUUGAUAAGUCAGUGGUGAAAGCUCCGGGCUUAACUUGGAAACUGCCAUUGAUACUGUCAGUCUUGAAUGUCGUAGAGGUAAGCGGAAUGUUGCAUGUAGCGGUGAAAUGCUUAGAUAUGUUACAGAACACCAAUUGCGAAGGCAGCUUACUAUGCGAUAAUUGACGCUGAGGCACGAAAGCGUGGGGAGCAAACAGGAUUAGAAACCCUUGUAGUCC
Molecule: ribosomal RNA, 428 nt
Filed under: uncultured bacterium
Lineage: Bacteria
Description: partial 16S ribosomal RNA
Rfam family: Bacterial small subunit ribosomal RNA
Source: RNAcentral